This 253-nucleotide ribosomal RNA is filed under the name uncultured bacterium. Its description in RNAcentral is "partial 16S ribosomal RNA". It matches the Rfam family "Bacterial small subunit ribosomal RNA", at positions 524 to 776 of the family's 1533-position model. The record is from RNAcentral.
GACAGAGGGUGCAAGCGUUGUUCGGAAUUAUUGGGCGUAAAGCGCGUGUAGGCUGCUUGAUAAGUCUGGCGUGAAAGCCUGAGGCUCAACCUCAGAAGUGCGUUGGAAACUGUCAAGCUGGAGUAUCGGAGGGGGAAGUGGAAUGCCGAGUGUAGAGGUGAAAUUCGUAGAUAUUCGGCAGAACAUCAGUGGCGAAGGCGACUUCCUGGACGAAUACUGACGCUGAGACGCGAAAGCGUGGGUAGCAAACAGG